AACGUCCAGGCAAGUGUGUUAGAGCUGGUUGGAGCUACACUCUGGAUGACACUGGCCCUCCAGGAGUAGGAUUGGACACUCCUGGAUUACUGAGCAGUUGUGUAGAGCUUCAGUGAGUUGGAGACAUGGGUGACUUCCCGACUCUACAGACAAACUAUCGGAGACUUCCUGUUACCGGUGAUGAAAGUGAUUCUUCACAUGAGAGUGUUGCAUCUCCUUUACU
Long non-coding RNA from Sinocyclocheilus anshuiensis, 223 nucleotides. RefSeq lists it as uncharacterized. Lineage: Eukaryota; Metazoa; Chordata; Actinopteri; Cypriniformes; Cyprinidae. The transcript is spliced from 3 exons. The record is from RefSeq and is a predicted model, not a curated record.